AGAGUUUGAUCAUGGCUCAGGAUGAACGCUAGCUACAGGCUUAACACAUGCAAGUCGAGGGGAAACGACAUCGAAAGCUUGCUUUUGAUGGGCGUCGACCGGCGCACGGGUGAGUAACGCGUAUCCAACCUGCCCAUCACUUGGGGAUAACCUUGCGAAAGUAAGACUAAUACCCAAUGAUAUCUCUAGAAGGCAUCUGAAAGAGAUUAAAGAUUUAUCGGUGAUGGAUGGGGAUGCGUCUGAUUAGCUUGUUGGCGGGGUAACGGCCACAAGCAACGAUCAGUAGGGGUUCUGAGAGGAAGGUCCCCCANAUUGGAACUGAGACACGGCCCAAAUCCUACGGGAGGCA
This 349-nucleotide ribosomal RNA is filed under the name uncultured bacterium. RNAcentral's name for it is "bacterial SSU rRNA". It matches the Rfam family "Bacterial small subunit ribosomal RNA", at positions 8 to 350 of the family's 1533-position model. The record is from RNAcentral.